Molecule: ribosomal RNA, 497 nt
Filed under: uncultured bacterium
Lineage: Bacteria
Description: partial 16S ribosomal RNA
Rfam family: Bacterial small subunit ribosomal RNA
Source: RNAcentral
GAUGAACGCUGGCGGCGUGCCUAAUACAUGCAAGUCGAGCGAACGGACGAGAAGCUUGCUUCUCUGAUGUUAGCGGCGGACGGGUGAGUAACACGUGGAUAACCUACCUAUAAGACUGGGAUAACUUCGGGAAACCGUAGCUAAUACCGGAUAAUAUUUUGAACCGCAUGGUUCAAAAGUGAAAGACGGUCUUGCUGUCACUUAUAGAUGGAUCCGCGCUGCAUUAGCUAGUUGGUAAGGUAACGGCUUACCAAGGCAACGAUGCAUAGCCGACCUGAGAGGGUGAUCGGCCACACUGGAAGUGAGACACGGUCCAGACUCCGACGGGAGGCAGCAGUAGGGAAUCUUCCGCAAUGGGCGAAAGCCUGACGGAGCAACGCCGCGUGAGUGAUGAAGCUCUUCGGAUCGUAAAACUCUGUUAUUAGGGAAGAACAAAUGUGUAAGUAACUGUGCACAUCUUGACGGUACCUAAUCAGAAAGCCACGGCUAACUACGUG